CCUACGGGUGGCAGCAGUGAGGAAUAUUGGUCAAUGGGCGCGAGCCUGAACCAGCCCAGUCGCGUGAGGGAAGACGGUCCUAUGGAUUGUAAACCUCUUUUGUCGGGGAGCAAAAGACGCCACGCGUGGCGUUACGAGAGUACCCGAAGAAAAAGCAUCGGCUAACUCCGUGCCAGCCGCCGCGGUAAUACGGAGGAUGCGCGCGUUAUCCGGAUUUAUUGGGUUUAAAGGGAGCGUAGGCCGCAUGUCAAGCGUGCUGUGAAAUGUCCGGGCUCAACCCGGGCCUUGCAGCGCGAACUGGCGUGCUUGAGUCCGCGGAAAGCAGGCGGAAUUCGUCGUGUAGCGGUGAAAUGCUUAGAUAUGACGAAGAACCCCGAUUGCGAAGGCAGCUUGCUGCAGCGGAACUGACGCUGAUGCUCGAAAGCGCGGGUAUCGAACAGGAUUAGAUACCCUAGUAGUC
RNAcentral lists this ribosomal RNA (460 nucleotides) under uncultured bacterium. RNAcentral's name for it is "partial 16S ribosomal RNA". It matches the Rfam family "Bacterial small subunit ribosomal RNA", at positions 338 to 795 of the family's 1533-position model. The record is from RNAcentral.